CUACGGGGGGCAGCAGUGGGGAAUAUUGCACAAUGGGGGAAACCCUGAUGCAGCAACGCCGCGUGGAGGAUGACACAUUUCGGUGCGUAAACUCCUUUUAUAGGUCAAGAUAAUGACGGUAGCCUAUGAAUAAGCGCCGGCUAACUCCGUGCCAGCAGCCGCGGUAAUACGGAGGGCGCAAGCGUUACUCGGAAUCACUGGGCGUAAAGAGCAUGUAGGCGGGUUAAUAAGUCAGAAGUGAAAUCCAAUAGCUCAACUAUUGAACUGCCUUUGAAACUGUUAACCUGGAGUGUGGGAGAGGUAGAUGGAAUUUCUGGUGUAGGGGUAAAAUCCGUAGAGAUCAGAAGGAAUACCGAUUGCGAAGGCGAUCUACUGGAACAUUACUGACGCUGAGAUGCGAAAGCGUGGGGAGCAAACAGGAUUAGAUACCCGAGUAGUC
This 439-nucleotide ribosomal RNA is filed under the name uncultured bacterium. Its description in RNAcentral is "partial 16S ribosomal RNA". It matches the Rfam family "Bacterial small subunit ribosomal RNA", at positions 339 to 795 of the family's 1533-position model. The record is from RNAcentral.